This 465-nucleotide ribosomal RNA is filed under the name uncultured bacterium. Its description in RNAcentral is "partial 16S ribosomal RNA". It matches the Rfam family "Bacterial small subunit ribosomal RNA", at positions 28 to 507 of the family's 1533-position model. The record is from RNAcentral.
GAUGAACGCUGGCGGCGUGCUUAACACAUGCAAGUCGAACGGAAAGGCUCCUGCUUGCCGGGGUACUCGAGUGGCGAACGGGUGAGUAACACGUGGGUGAUCUGCCCUGCACUUCGGGAUAAGCCUGGGAAACUGGGUCUAAUACCGGAUAGGACGAUGUUUUGGAUGCCAUUGUGGAAAGUUUUUCGGUGUGGGAUGAGCUCGCGGCCUAUCAGCUUGUUGGUGGGGUAUUGGCUUACCAAGGCGUCGACGGGUAGCCGGCCUGAGAGGGUGUACGGCCACAUUGGGACUGAGAUACGGCCCAGACUCCUACGGGAGGCAGCAGUGGGGAAUAUUGCACAAUGGGCGCAAGCCUGAUGCAGCGACGCCGCGUGGGGGAUGACGGCCUUCGGGUUGUAAACUCCUUUCGCUAGGGACGAAGCGCAAGUGACGGUACCUGGAGAAGAAGCACCGGCUAACUACGUG